Molecule: ribosomal RNA, 520 nt
Filed under: uncultured Paraglomus
Lineage: Eukaryota; Fungi; Glomeromycota; Glomeromycetes; Paraglomerales; Paraglomeraceae
Description: SSU rRNA
Rfam family: Eukaryotic small subunit ribosomal RNA
Source: RNAcentral
AGCAGCCGCGGUAAUUCCAGCUCCAAUAGCGUAUAUUAAAGUUGUUGCAGUUAAAAAGCUCGUAGUUGAACUUCAGGCCUGGCUGGGCGGUCCGCCUUCCGGGCGAGUACUGCCUGUGGUCGGGUCCUACCUUCUGGCGAAGCGUCAUGGCCUUAACCGGCCGUGGCGGGGAACCAGGACUUUUACUGUGAAAAAAUUAGAGUGUUCAAAGCAGGCACGCGCUUGAAUACAUUAGCAUGGAAUAAUGGAAUAGGACAGUGGUUCUAUUUGUUGGUUUCUAGGACCGUUGUAAUGAUUAAUAGGGAUAGUUGGGGGCAUUAGUAUUCAAUUGUCAGAGGUGAAAUUCUUGGAUUUAUUGAAGACUAACUACUGCGAAAGCAUUUGCCAAGGAUGUUUUCAUUAAUCAAGAACGAAAGUUAGGGGAUCGAAGACGAUCAGAUACCGUCGUAGUCUUAACCAUAAACUAUGCCGACUAGGAAUCGGGCGAUGUUGACAAAAUGACGCGCUCGGCACCUCAUGG